AGAGUUUGAUCCUGGCUCAGGAUGAACGCUAGCGGGAGGCAUAAUACAUGCAAGUCGAACGGGAUUUGUUGAGUAGCAAUACAAGGCAAUGAGAGUGGCGCACGGGUGCGUAACGGGUAUGCAACCUACAUUUAUCUGGGGGAUAGCCCCUCGAAAGAGGGAUUAAUACCGCAUAAUAUGGCUGAAGGGCAUCCUUUGGCCAUCAAAACUACGGUGGGUAAAUACGGGCAUGCUUGACAUUAGGUAGUUGGUGAGGUAAUGGCUCACCAAGCCUACGAUGUCUAGGGGGUCUGAGAGGAUGUACCCCCACACUGGUACUGAGACACGGACCAGACUCCUACGGGAGGCAGCAGUAGGGAAUAUUGGUCAAUGGACGAAAGUCUGAACCAGCCAUCCAGCGUGCAGGACGACGGCCCUAUGGGUUGUAAACUGCUUUUGUACAGGAAGAAUAAGCUCUACGUGUAGAGUGAUGACGGUACUGUAAGAAUAAGGAUCGGCUAACUCCGUGCCAGCAGCCGCGGUAAUACGGAGGAUCCAAGCGUUGUCCGGAUUUAUUGGGUUUAAAGGGUGCGUAGGCGGUUUAUUAAGUCAGUGGUGAAAGUUUGCGGCCCAACCGUAAAAUUGCCAUUGAAACUGAUAGACUUGAGUUUGGUUGAGGUUGCCGGAAUGUGUCAUGUAGCGGUGAAAUGCUUAGAUAUGAUACAGAACACCGAUUGCGAAGGCAGGUGACUAAACCAAUACUGACGCUGAGGCACGAAAGCGUGGGGAUCAAACAGGAUUAGAUACCCUGGUAGUCCACGCCCUAAACGUUGAUUACUCGUUGUUGGCGAUAUACUGUCAGCGACUAAGCGAAAGCGUUAAGUAAUCCACCUGGGGAGUACGACCGCAAGGUUGAAACUCAAAGGAAUUGACGGGGGCCCGCACAAGCGGAGGAGCAUGUGGUUUAAUUCGAUGAUACGCGAGGAACCUUACCUGGGCUUGAAUGUGAGUGACCGACUGGGAAACCAGUCUUCUCUUUGGAGCACAAAACAAGGUGCUGCAUGGCUGUCGUCAGCUCGUGCCGUGAGGUGUUGGGUUAAGUCCCGCAACGAGAGCAACCCCUAUCUUUAGUUGCCAUCAGGUUAUGCUGGGGACUCUAAAGAGACUGCCUACGUAAGUAGUGAGGAAGGUGGGGAUGACGUCAAGUCAUCAUGGCCCUUACGUCCAGGGCUACACACGUGCUACAAUGGGUGCUACAAAGGGCAGCAACACAGUGAUGUGAAGCCAAUCUCUAAAAAGCACUCUCAGUUCGGAUUGGAGUCUGCAACUCGACUCCAUGAAGUUGGAUUCGCUAGUAAUCGGAUAUCAGCAAUGAUCCGGUGAAUACGUUCCCGGGCCUUGUACACACCGCCCGUCAAGCCAUGGGAGUUGGGAGUGCCUAAAGUUCGUAACCGUAAGGAGCGACCUAGGGCAAUACCGAUGACUAGGGCUAAGUCGUAACAAGGUA
This 1486-nucleotide ribosomal RNA is filed under the name metagenome. RNAcentral describes it as "bacterial SSU rRNA". It matches the Rfam family "Bacterial small subunit ribosomal RNA". The record is from RNAcentral.